GGCCUCCGAAUUGUGGUCUAGGAAGGCGCCAUCGGCCGCGCGCGUCGCCGAAAUCCCUUGGAAGAAGGUAUCGGAGAAGGUGAGAAUCCUGUGCCGUGGCGCGUGGUGGCCUCACGAUGCGUCCUUGUCGAGUCGGGUUGCUUGGGAUUGCAGCUUGAAGUGGGUGGUAAAUUCCAUCUAAAGCUGAAUAGUGGCGAGAGACCGAUAGCGAACAAGUACCGUGAGGGAAAGAUGCAAAGAACUUUGAAAAGAGAG
Molecule: ribosomal RNA, 255 nt
Filed under: Chrysotila sp. RCC1410
Lineage: Eukaryota; Haptophyta; Isochrysidales; Isochrysidaceae
Description: partial large subunit ribosomal RNA
Rfam family: Eukaryotic large subunit ribosomal RNA
Source: RNAcentral